RNAcentral lists this ribosomal RNA (253 nucleotides) under uncultured bacterium. Its description in RNAcentral is "partial 16S ribosomal RNA". It matches the Rfam family "Bacterial small subunit ribosomal RNA", at positions 524 to 776 of the family's 1533-position model. The record is from RNAcentral.
UACGUAGGGGGCAAGCGUUGUCCGGAAUCAUUGGGCGUAAAGCGCGUGUAGGCGGCCCGGUAAGUCCGCUGUGAAAGUCGGGGGCUCAACCCUCGAAUGCCGGUGGAUACUGUCGGGCUAGAGUGCGGGAGAGGCGAGUGGAAUUCCUGGUGUAGCGGUGAAAUGCGCAGAUAUCAGGAGGAACACCAAUUGCGAAGGCAGCUCGCUGGAACGUAACUGACGCUGAGACGCGAAAACGUGGGGAGCAAACAGG